GUCUACGGCCAUACCACCCUGAACGCGCCCGAUCUCGUCUGAUCUCGGAAGCUAAGCAGGGUCGGGCCUGGUAAGUACUUGGAUGGGAGAAAAGAAUCCAAAGAAUCAAUGAAUCAAGGAGUUGGUUC
This 128-nucleotide ribosomal RNA is filed under the name Cavia porcellus (domestic guinea pig). Lineage: Eukaryota; Metazoa; Chordata; Mammalia; Rodentia; Caviidae. The record is from RNAcentral.